This 1362-nucleotide ribosomal RNA is filed under the name uncultured prokaryote. RNAcentral's name for it is "partial 16S ribosomal RNA". It matches the Rfam family "Bacterial small subunit ribosomal RNA". The record is from RNAcentral.
GAGUUUGAUCCUGGCUCAGGAUUAACGCUGGCGGCGUGCAUGAGACAUGCAAGUCGAACGGACGAUCAGGGCUUGCUCUGAUCGUGAGUGGCGGACGGCUGAGUAACGCGUAGGUGACCUGCCCAGAAGUGGGGAAUAACUGCCCGAAAGGGUGGCUAAUACCGCAUGUGGUCACACGUUCAUUCGUGUGAGCAAAGCCGCAAGGCGCUUCUGGAGGGGCCUGCGUUCGAUUAGCUCGUUGGUGAGGUAACGGCUCACCAAGGCGACGAUCGAUAGGUGGUCUGAGAGGACGAUCACCCAGACUGGGACUGAGACACGGCCCAGACUCCUACGGGAGGCAGCAGUCGGGAAUUUUGCUCAAUGGGGGAAACCCUGAAGCAGCAACGCCGCGUGAGGGAUGAAGGCCUUCGGGUUGUAAACCUCUUUUCUCAGGGACGAUAAUGACGGUACCUGAGGAAUAAGCCACGGCUAACUACGUGCCAGCAGCCGCGGUAAUACGUAGGUGGCAAGCGUUGUCCGGAUUUACUGGGCGUAAAGAGCGCGCAGGCGGUCGUUCAAGUCGAGUGUGAAAGCCCCCGGCUCAACUGGGGAGGGUCACGCGAUACUGAUCGACUCGAAGGCAGGAGAGGGAAGUGGAAUUCCCGGUGUAGUGGUGAAAUGCGUAGAUAUCGGGAGGAACACCAGUGGCGAAGGCGACUUCCUGGCCUGUUCUUGACGCUGAGGCGCGAAAGCUAGGGGAGCGAACGGGAUUAGAUACCCCGGUAGUCCUAGCUGUAAACGAUGAACACUAGGUGUUGGGGAAGCGAUUCCUUGGUGCCGGAUCUAACGCGUUAAGUACCCCGCCUGGGGAGUACGGUCACAAGGCUGAAACUCAAAGGAAUUGACGGGGGCCCGCACAAGCGGUGGAGCAUGUGGUUUAAUUCGAAGCAACGCGCAGAACCUUACCAGCUCUUGACAUCCCGGUCGCGGAUCGCAGAGAUGUGAUCUUAGUUCGGCUGGACCGGAGACAGGUGCUGCAUGGCUGUUGUCAGCUCGUGUCGUGAGAUGUUGGGUUAAGUCCCGCAACGAGCGCAACCCUCGUCCUCAGUUGCCAUCACGUUCGGGUGGGCACUCUGGGGGAAACUGCCGUGACAAGCCGGAGGAAGGCGGGGAUGACGUCAAGUCCUCAUGGCCCUUAUGGGCUGGGCUACACACGUGCUACAAUGGCGGUGACAGAGGGAUGCGAGGGGGCGACCCUGAGCCAAUCUCGAAACGCCGUCUCAGUUCGGAUUGCACUCUGCAACUCGAGUGCAUGAAGUUGGAAUCGCUAGUAAUCGCGGAUCAGCAUGCCGCGGUGAAUACGUUCCCGGGCCUUGUACACAC